GACAAGCGGCGCCGUAACGGGAAGCAACGCGCGACUGGGGACCUCGAAGGACCUCUCCGCUGGUCACGGAACACCCUUGCGACGUUUCGGUGGCGACGAUAAUACGUACCAGGAUACCGCCGGCAAGCGUCCAGAUUAUCACACACGCUCCCAUAUCCCAAAACAUCACCAUCGGGUAUAAAGAUCGUAGAAGGAUCUCGAAGGAGUAUCGUCAUCUAAGGACACCUCGGGGAGACGACGUUCAAGAGGCAAAAGAAGAGUGACUCUCGGUCACGAGGUUCACCGCACGUGCAGCGCGCGUCUUGCGAGAAAGUGAAUACAACGACAGUGCGAUCGAGACUCGCGGACGUUUUAAUCGACGACGCGAUUUUCGACAGGGAACUGGGGAGGACAGGAUCACGAUCGCGCAAGAACAAGUGAGAGAACUUGGUCGUUCCGGAGUGCGGAGCAGUGCGGUUGAUUGGUAGGUGAGACGUCAACGCGGGCGGACCUUCAAGUGCGCGCUCGUAACGCCCGCGAACUCGUGGCCCGCGCGUCCGGACGCAUGUGCACCGGCACGCGGUCGGCGCGGCCGGCUUAACGGUGCAACUUCCACAGUGAACGCCGUCAGUGGCGAGCGGACGUUCAUGGAUCGUCGCGGAAUACCGGCCGCCGACGACGACGUUCCGACGACGACGAUUCAUGCGCGGUCCUAAAGGAACACGGCAUCGGGCGCAUCCGCUCUGACGGAGAGGCGGUGGAGUCCCUCGCGGACACGCGAAGGGGUAAGCAAGGGAGCGACGAGGAUUCCUGCAGCGAGUGGCAACGCGAAGGAGGAAGUCUGUUGCCCCAGGAGAGUCCUUACGGCCUCACCACGCGGUCCGACGAGUGGAGCGGUCUCCUGCCCAGCUCCACGAUCGUGGGUGCUGGGGGGUCUCCAUGGCUCGGACUCGGUGCCGGGGGUGGUACCGGCGCCACCACGGGGGGAGGAAGUCCCGUAGAGCUCGAGGGCCACUGGGGACGUAAGCUGUACGGCGCGAGUGUGGCACCGCCGCCCCCGCCGCCUCAUCAUCAUCCGCGGGCGCCGUUGGUUUUCGCGCCUCAGGACAUGCGGCAGAUACUGAAGGAAGAACCUCUGCCACGUGCUUGGCCGCAGCCCGCGCUCGCCGACAACGGAGCAAUCGGGGUGGUCCGAGCGCAAUUCGAGAAGCAACCGCCGAGUAAUCUGAGGAAAAGCAAUUUUUUCCACUUCGUAAUCGCACUCUAUGAUCGACACAACCAACCGAUCGAGAUUGAGAGGACGUCAUUCAUUGGCUUCGUCGAGAAAGAUCAGGAGGCCGACGGUCAGAAAACGAACAAUGGUAUUCAGUACAGUCUGCAUUUACUCUAUAACAAUGGUGCCAGGCAGAUACAAGACAUCUUCGUUCGGCUUGUAGACUCCGCGUCAAGACAAGCAAUCAUGUAUGAGGGACAAGACAAGAAUCCAGAAAUGUGUCGCGUUCUGCUGACGCAUGAAGUCAUGUGCAGUCGAUGCUGCGACAAGAAGAGCUGUGGCAACAGGAACGAGACGCCCAGUGACCCUGUCAUCAUCGACCGAUUCUUCCUCAAGUUCUUUCUCAAGUGUAACCAAAACUGCCUCAAGAACGCUGGCAAUCCACGUGAUAUGAGACGCUUUCAGGUGGUCAUUACUACGCAAGUGGAUGUAAAGGGACCAUUGCUAGCGAUGUCGGACAACAUGUUCGUUCACAACAAUAGCAAGCACGGUCGCAGGACGAAACGCAUGGACCCAAGUGAUCCUGGUCUAUAUCCGCCAUUACCUCUCCAAACGCCAUGCAUAAAGGCGAUAUCACCCAACGAAGGUUGGACAUCGGGUGGAUCCACAGUCAUAAUCAUCGGUGAAAACUUCUUCGAUGGAUUGCAAGUUGUUUUCGGAUCUUCACUAGUCUGGAGUGAGAUGAUUACUCCACACGCGAUCAAAGUGCAAGCACCGACGCGACAUAUACCUGGCGUCGUUGAUGUCACGUUGUCUUACAAAGGCAAGCAAUUUUGUAAGGGAGCGCCCAGUAGAUUCGUCUACGUUUCGUUAGACGAGCCCACUCUCGACUACGGUUUUCAGAGGUUACAGAAACUCAUCCCGCGGCAUCCGGGCGAUCCUGACAAGCUACCGAAGGAAAUAGUGCUGAAGAGAGCGGCAGAUCUAGCGGAAGCCCUUUACAGCAUGCCCAAGAGCGGAAACAUGGGGAUCACGGGUUCUCUCAGAAGCCCGGGUUCGGUGCAUGCGCCCGUACCUCCCACUUCUAGUUCGGCGACGGCUUUUAAUUCCUACACGGGCCAACUUGCAGUGACGGUGCAGGAAAAUGGUACCGCGGCGAAAUGGACGGACGACGGUAGUUCCGUGACGACAGGAGCCAGUGCUGGCGGAGGAGGUGGCGGUGGCGGCGGUGGCAGUAGCGGUGGUAGCGGCGGCGCCGGUGGUGGAAGCGUCGGUGGCAAUGUCGGAGCCAACCCCGACGCCUACAGACAAAGCAGUAGUGCUAGUCCACAUGGUGUCGUAACUGGCGGUGGUUAUUGCGGUAGUUCGGCCAGCACGCCACACAGUCAUAGUACCAACGGAAGUUACUCCGUUGCCAAUCCGUACACCGGCAGUCCGACUCUUUACACCUCACCGCACGAACAAUAUGGCAUAUUCUAUACGUCCGGGGACGGGAGUGCGUUCGCCCCCGUAGUACGACCACCGACCACCUCAGUCCCACCGCACUGGUCCACACAGCACCACCUCGCCACAGCCGCCCAGUAACCGCUAACCGUCCACCAUCAUCACCACAGUUAUCAUCACCACCACCAUCAUCCUAUGCACUGCGAUUAGAGAAUUAAGAGAGACUACAUUUGAAAAUUGGGCAUGUUGCAGGACUAGGAGAGGUGGUUGGCUCACCCUUCAACAUGAACCCAUUUAUGUUGCCGCCUUGCAACCAGGCAUAUUCAGCCGUUGCCAGUCCGCU
Molecule: unclassified non-coding RNA, 2978 nt
Filed under: Ooceraea biroi (clonal raider ant)
Lineage: Eukaryota; Metazoa; Arthropoda; Insecta; Hymenoptera; Formicidae
Description: transcription factor collier, transcript variant X5
Source: RNAcentral